RNAcentral lists this long non-coding RNA (1100 nucleotides) under Zonotrichia albicollis (white-throated sparrow). RNAcentral describes it as "lncRNA (ENSZALG00000001337.1)". The record is from RNAcentral. Lineage: Eukaryota; Metazoa; Chordata; Aves; Passeriformes; Passerellidae.
UUUAAAUUUACAGUCUGCCUUUACUUUUCAUUUUUGAGAUCAGAUAAACUAGAAGAUUUAUAAUCUAGUCACUCUUAAAAAAGAUGAAAGUCUAAGAGAAUUGAUGCCCAUUGCACGAGCCCUGAUGGAAUGUUUUAAACAGACUGACAAUAAUAAGGUGAACUCAGAUUCAGAAAACCAAGCUUCUAGCUCUGUCUCUUUAAAUUCCAGUAAACCUGAGACUGUGUGUGUUUCAGAGAAUGUAACAAAUGUUGUUUCAAAUGCUGAUUUGAACUCCACUGAGAAAAAUCUCCCUUCUCUCUCUCUGAGAAAGAAUGAGACUUUUUCAGACUCUUCGUCGCGUUGUUCUGUUAAUGUAAAAAUAUGUGACUCUUGUAAGGGAGAAAGGACAAAAUUUGUAGAAAAUUUAAAUGAAAAAGUAAAUGUAUUUCCUAAGAUUAGUUGUGCGGAGACACUGAAAGCUAGUUUAGAUUGUGAUAUGCCUGAAGAAGAAACUGAGAGUGUUUCUUCCACUCAAGAAAUUUUAGUUUCUGGAAGUUCUGAGAAUUCUUUUUCAGUUAAGCAAAAACCUAGUUUUUAUGGUAAUUGUCAAUCCAUAGGUACAGAGAAAGAAAAAUUAGCUUUAAUUCAAAGGAUGGAGUCCUUUGAAAGAAUGAAUAACUCUCAAAAACCUGAAAAAACACGAGUUGAGUUUUUUCCUCAUUGCUGUGAUCCUAAUUCUUGUAUUUUAAAACAAAACCAUGUAAGUUUAAAACCUAGAUUUGUAGAUUCUUCAGCUGAGUUUUUCUUAGCAAAGAGACAAUGUGAAACUUGUGGUAAAGUAGCAAAUUCAAAGUUAGAGCGUGGCAAUGUUCCCAGUCAUGGCAGGGUUCCGAGGGGGGCGUGUUGCUUAGAGGUUUCUGAAAAAAAUUUAGAGGUGUGUUCUCAUGAUCAGGUUAGCCAGGCUUACUUACUAGAAGUAAGCCUGUAAUGAAAACUUCGUCAAAACCUGCAACUUUAAAGCUCAUCUAAAAAACCAACCAUCCUGUGUAUGUCGACCAAUAGCCUUUAACAGAAGAAAAGUUGAACAUUCUUAAUAAACUAGUAAAAGAACAAUUACA